GGGCAGGUGUAGCAGUCGGGUGGGGACCCCGCCUAUUGUCUGAAGUAUCGGCUCAUUUGUAAUUCCUUGAGAAGGCAAAAGCCCUGAAGGGUCUCAUUUAAAUUGGCUGGAGACAUACCUUUCUUUUUGGAAACACCCAUCCUAUAUAAGACACACUCAGAGCCUGAAACCCUUAGCCAUUUACCCGUCAAGAUUCGCUGCGGAGCACACCAUUUUCUUUGAGAUCAUCAAAACUAACAUCGUUCUUUAUAACAUGGACAUCGUAAACGCUUAAUUUUUAGGAGUUCGGGAGAACGGCGCAGGACCGAGUUCUCUAACAAGCACAAGGGUUAACAAACUGAGUAGGAAAACAUUCAGACACAGAGACCACAGAGCCCAACCUUACAACAGAGCCACGCCAGAGAACCGUGUGUGUGGAGAAGCAGGACCGUCCGGAAUAACGCACACUACAAGACUGCAGAACAGUACCCCUCCUCAUAAUGAUCAGGACACCGUACGAUCCCUGACGAUUUUGGAACGUUUAAGCAGUAUCGACCUCCCAGAACAACAAAAACCUGGAGCUUUGUACAACAGCGGAGAGUCAGAACCGAUCUUCAUCAGCGGACCUGCAACA
Oreochromis niloticus (Nile tilapia) is the source of this 613-nucleotide long non-coding RNA. RefSeq lists it as uncharacterized. NCBI's taxonomy places the organism in Eukaryota, Metazoa, Chordata, Actinopteri, Cichliformes, Cichlidae. The transcript has 5 exons. The record is from RefSeq and is a predicted model, not a curated record.